This 258-nucleotide long non-coding RNA is filed under the name Monodelphis domestica (gray short-tailed opossum). RNAcentral describes it as "lncRNA (ENSMODG00000049248.1)". The record is from RNAcentral. Lineage: Eukaryota; Metazoa; Chordata; Mammalia; Didelphimorphia; Didelphidae.
UGGUGAUGCAGAAAGAGGUGAAAUCUACAAAACUUUUCAGAAGGGAAGGAGACCAUCACUAGAAAGUUUGAAAGGAAAAUCAAACUAUAUCCAAGGUACAGAGCUAAAGGAGUUGACGUGAGAGAAAGUCAUAUCCAAAGGGAGAAAGAGAGAUAUGGUGCUAUCUACAAAGACUGAAUACAGUUCCUGGGUCUAAUGUUUCUAGCCUUGUUGGCAACCUUAUGAGUUCAAGAGGAAGAGAUCCCUGCUAUAGAAGAU